UGUUGACGUUAAAAAGCUCUAGUUGGAUUUCGGAAUGGGUCAGUUGGUCCGCCUCACGGUGUGUUACUGACUGGUCUGUUCUUCUUCGCAAAGACUGUGUAUUCUCUUUAUUGAGUGUGCAUAGGAUUUACGACGUUUACUUUGAAAAAAUUAGAGUGUUCAAAGCAGGCCUACCGCUUGAAUACAUGAGCAUGGAAUAAUGGAAUAGGACUUUGGUCUUAUUUUGUUGGUUUCUAAGACCGAAGUAAUGAUUAAGAGGGACAGUUGGGGGCAUUCGUAUUUCGUUGUCAGAGGUGAAAUUCUUGGAUUUACGAAAGACGAACAACUGCGAAAGCAUUUGCCAAGAAUGUUUUCAUUAAUCAAG
RNAcentral lists this ribosomal RNA (364 nucleotides) under uncultured marine eukaryote. Its description in RNAcentral is "SSU rRNA". It matches the Rfam family "Eukaryotic small subunit ribosomal RNA", at positions 611 to 981 of the family's 1831-position model. The record is from RNAcentral.